ACACAUUACAACAUUAUCCCUUUCAACGACACAACGUGCUCGAAUCACAAGUUUGGUCUGGUCGAAAGGUUUUCAAAAUAAGCGGUCAUCUCACAAGGAAGUUGCGUGUAAAUAAUAAUUACGUACCAAUGUUUAAAUAAAAAAAUGAACGUUCAAGCAGAAUUACUUCUACGCAUCCAAGCAUACGUCAUUAGCUAUUACACCUGAACGCGCGUACAAAUAUGUCGUCUGUCCACCUGAGGGUUGAGAUCUUAAGAGGGACCCUCCUACGCGACUACAUUUCAGCUGCUUGAAGAAGUAUUUUUAAUGAACAAUAAUUAAGAUCGAUCAGUACCACAUAACCCAAAUUUAUAUGUUUAAUAUUAAAUUAAUUAUUUAGCCACAUGUAAAUAUUAUGAUUUCAUUUGUUUUGAAAUACAAUGCCCAAUAUUGACAAUAUACCUACAUAUCCAGCAA
Molecule: long non-coding RNA, 456 nt
Organism: Photinus pyralis (common eastern firefly)
Lineage: Eukaryota; Metazoa; Arthropoda; Insecta; Coleoptera; Lampyridae
Exons: 2
Source: RefSeq, a predicted model, not a curated record